UGGCGAAAUUGUGUUUUACUACAAUACUGUC
This 31-nucleotide non-coding RNA is filed under the name Mus musculus (house mouse). The record is from RNAcentral. Lineage: Eukaryota; Metazoa; Chordata; Mammalia; Rodentia; Muridae.